CCUACGGGAGGCUGCAGUGGGGAAUAUUGCACAAUGGGGGAAAGCCUGAAGCAGCGACGCCGCGUGAGUGAAGAAGGAUUUCGGUAUGGAAAGCUCUAUCAGCAGGGAAGAAAAUGACGGUACCUGACUAAGAAGCCCAGGCUAACUCCGUGCCAGCAGCCGCGUUAAUACGUAGGGGGCAAGCGUUAUCCGGAUUUACUGGGUGUAAAGGGAGCGUAGACGGCCAGACAAGUCAGAAGUGAAAGCCCACGGCUCAACCCUGGGACUGCUUUUGAAACUGCCGGGCUGGAGUGCAGGAGAGGUAAGCGGAAUUCCUAGUGUAGCGGUGAAAUGCGUAGAUAUUAGGAAGAACACCAGUGGCGAAGGCGGCUUACUGGACUGUAACUGACGUUGAGGCUCGAAAGCGUGGGUAGCAAACAGGAUUAGAUACCCUUGUAGUC
This 440-nucleotide ribosomal RNA is filed under the name uncultured bacterium. RNAcentral describes it as "partial 16S ribosomal RNA". It matches the Rfam family "Bacterial small subunit ribosomal RNA", at positions 338 to 795 of the family's 1533-position model. The record is from RNAcentral.